This 73-nucleotide non-coding RNA is filed under the name Nematostella vectensis (starlet sea anemone). The record is from RNAcentral. Lineage: Eukaryota; Metazoa; Cnidaria; Anthozoa; Actiniaria; Edwardsiidae.
CUGGACCCGAAACAGUACCUCCACGCGGUGAGAGUCGUGAGUAGGCGGCCUGGCAGCCGAAACUAAAUCUGUU